This 72-nucleotide transfer RNA is filed under the name Schistosoma mansoni. The record is from RNAcentral. Lineage: Eukaryota; Metazoa; Platyhelminthes; Trematoda; Strigeidida; Schistosomatidae.
GUUUCGUGGCCGAGUGGAUAACGCGAUGGCGCUUGAAGCUAAAGGUACUGGGUUCGAGUCCUAGAGUGGAAA